Molecule: microRNA precursor, 76 nt
Filed under: Myotis lucifugus (little brown bat)
Lineage: Eukaryota; Metazoa; Chordata; Mammalia; Chiroptera; Vespertilionidae
Description: mir-9229 microRNA precursor family
Rfam family: mir-9229 microRNA precursor family
Source: Rfam by way of RNAcentral
GAGACACCCCUAUGGGGCAGGACUUGCUUCAGUGGGACUUUGGAGCUCACUGUAUUUUCCCCUUGAGUGUGUUGCU